Molecule: RNA transcript, 14066 nt
Organism: Salvelinus fontinalis (brook trout)
Lineage: Eukaryota; Metazoa; Chordata; Actinopteri; Salmoniformes; Salmonidae
Gene: chd2
Gene name: chromodomain helicase DNA binding protein 2
Exons: 9
Source: RefSeq, a predicted model, not a curated record
GUUUGGACGUUGAAGGGGCACGUUAGAGAAGGAAGACGGAGAGCGCGCUUGUUUGAAAUUGAAAGGUGUCGCGGUAGUUGUUGGUAAAGAAUAUCAUCAAGACGAAGCAACUGCAUUAUAAGUGGGAUGGACUGUUGACCGAUACAUCCCGAGGCGUUCGUGCUGAUUGUACGGAGAUUGUGACAGCCGGUUAAAUGGCGUCCCUUGAGAAAGCAAGAACAAGAUAUGUCAGGCGAAGUGCAGUAUUACAUAAGGAGAUGUAUACUUGGAAAAGGGGAUAUGUUUUGUUAAAGAAGAAUGGUAGAAAGCGUAAACUGAGUGAGCUGAAGACCGGUGGAGAAAUGGAAGUGAAUGAGGGCGAAGUAUCGGAGGUUCCAUUUCAUGACAAGCCCAGGCUACAGGAGUGGGUAGCAAGGGACAGGAGGAUGAAUUGGAAACCAACCCAACACUCUUGUCUCUGCCCAUCACUUUGAAGAUGAGUGUUUUUGGGAUGAUGACAAGGGAAAGGUCAGCCUCACUGCUUCUGCUGUGCCCAGUAAUUUCUCCCCUGAUUGUUUUCAAAAGUGGUCACAAUGCCCCAGGGAAAGAUCAAGGAAUAAAGUAGGUACAGAGUCCCCUCCUGUACUCCCUGUUCACCCAUGACUGCAUAGCCAGGCACGACUCCAACACCAUCAUUAAGUUUGCAGACGACACAACAGUGGUAGGCCUGAUCACCGACAACGACGAGACAGCCUAUAGGGAGAUCAGAGACUGGGCUGGGUGGUGCCAGAAUAACAACCUAUCCCUCAACGUAACCAAGACAAAGGAGAUGAUUGUGGACUACAGGAAAAGGAGGACUGAGCACGCCCCCAUUCUCAUCGACGGUGCUGUAGUGGAGCAGGUUGAGAGCUUCAAGUUACUUGGUGUCCACAUCAACAACAAACUAGAAUGGUCCAAACACACCAAGACAGUCGUGAAGAGGGCACGACAAAGCCUAUUCCCCCUCAGGAAACUAAAAAGAUUUGGCAUGGGUCCUGAGAUCCUCAACAGGUUCUACAGCUGCAACAUCGAGAGCAUCCUGACUGGUUGCAUCACUGCCUGGUACGGCAAUUGCUCAGCCUCUGACCGCAAGGCACUACAGAGGGUAGUGCGUACAGCCCAGUACAUCACUGGGGCUAAGCUGCUUGCCAUCCAGGACCUCUACACCAGGCGGUGUCAGAGGAAGGCCCUAAAAUUUGUCAAAGACCCCGCCACCCCAGUCAUAGACUGUUCUCUCUACUACCGCAUGGCAAGCGGUACCGGAGUGCCAAGUCUAGGACAAAAAGGCUUCUCAACAGUUGUUACCCCAAAGCCAUAAGACUCCUGAACAGGGGGAGAGUCUCCGCCAAGAAUUUACGACCUGAGAUAACAGCACCUGGGUGUAGGAGUCAGAGGGGGAAGCCAUGAUCUACACCCAGAAAAGGCCACGUCAUGACAACUGUGAUGCUGGAUGUGCAUGAUGACACCAGUGGUGUGUCAGAUGUAGGCCUACAUCACAAUGACAUAGCUGUAAUAGUGGAUGCCGGCCGCUGCUGAUUCCUUGCUUCUCACUAGGCGAUGUUGCCACACCUCAGCUGAGAAGAGGAUCCAAUAUGACAAACCAUGCAGCAAUUUCUCAAUGGUACAGCUUCUUGGUUAAAUACAAAGGUUCUCUUUCAUUUUCUCCUCUACAUUUGGAUUGACAAUGGUGCUUGUGUGCAUCUAAUGUAGUUUAUGAGCUUUGAUUUCAAGCAUAACCAUGCGGCUUUAUAAGUAUAACACAGAAACUAUAGAUAACGCUAUCCAGAAAUCUUACAUACUGUUUUCUGAAAGUUAUUUUAAAACUGUAAAUCCUAAAGAAAAUUAUCCAACUUGUAACUCUGAUUUGGACUAUCGGUUUCUGUCAAAACUCCCACACUGAUGAAAGUGAUAUUGUGGAAAGCCUAGAUAUGGAACAGCUUGGAUGUCAUCAGUCUUUGGGCAAGUCAUCAUGAGGUUAAAUCACGUCCUCUGCCUCUCUCACUCCUCUCUGUCACUUCUCUCCUCUACACGUGGUCAUUGCUUCAACAUUGCUUCAGCACGUGGACAUUGCGGCCCUCCUGAUCAAGUUCAAAUGAAGUGUUCAGUAUUCUCUGAUUCUCAACACAAGCAAGAGAGCUCUCAUACACUGAGUAUACCAAGCAUUAGGAACAACUUCCUAAUAUUGAGUUGCACCCCCUUUUGCCCUCAGAACAGCCUCAAUUCAUCGGGGCAUGGGCUCUACAAGGUGUCAAGCGUUCCACAGGAAAGCUGGCCCAUGUUGAUGCCAAUGCUUCCCACAAUCCUUGUUUACCCUGUCUCCCCCUUCAUCUACACUGAUUGAAGUGGAUUUAACAAGUGACAUCAAUAACGGAUCAUAGCAUUCACCUGGUCGGUCAGUCUGUAAUGGAAAGAGCAAAUCAAAUUUGAUUUGUCACAUGCGCCGAAUACAAAAUGUGUAGACGUUACCGUGAAAUGCUUACUUACAAGCCCUUAACCAACAAUGCAGUUCAAGAAAGAGUUCAUAAAAUAUUUACUAAAUAAAGUAAAAAUGAUUAAAUCAAUCAAAAAGUAACACAACAAAUGUGUAUAACAAUAACGAGGCUAUAUACAGGGGGUACCGGUACAGAGUCAAUGUGCCGGGAUACAGGUUGGGUGUUCUUAAUGUUUUGUAUACUCAGUGUUUUAAAUUUGUUUUGCUCAUAAUGGUAGAUGUAUGCAUGUGUGCAACUAGAAAGAUAUAACAACUACGUUUCUGACUUCCAAUGACAGCCUGCUCACUAUAAUUCCCAUCCAAUAUAUUUUUACAUGCAUGCCUGGGGAAACCCCUUAUCACCCAGUAACUCCUCCUUCAGGUUGAUGAUAUCCAUGCCCUGUUGGACACUUAUGUAACCAGAUGCAGAGAAGAGGGAUCACCAGCUCAGCUCAUCACUGUCCAAUUUCUGGUUGGGACAACAGACAUUGCUCGACCUGCGCUUGAUUUGUCCCAUUUGCUACCCAGCCAAACAGAUUAACAUUUUAAUGCAUAAAUCCUUUAGCUUUUGCAUUUUAAAUUUGUGUGUCUCUUAAAAGCUGGCUGGUUAUUAAACAGUUUAAUAUCUUCUCAAUUAGUUAAGUUAUUACAUAUUAAAAGAUUAGCUGUGGAUUUUUCCACUAUAUAUGAUUGGUUUGUGACUCUCCGACCAAUCUCUAAUCAUAUCCUGUAGUGCUGUAAAGUGGAGUUCCCCUCCACCAAUCCCUCAGGGCUGCAAUGUAAAGUCAAACUCCAUUCUCUUAUAAACUAUGGUGAACUGAUACAGUGAACCAGCUAAAGUCGGUAUGUAAACUGACACCACUGGAGGUCUUGCGGUAUUUGUGUAGAACAAGAAAGAAAACAAGUAGGUGGACAGUACAAGUAAACUUUAUUGAACUAUUUACAAAACAUGUAAGUAGGAGCAGAUUAGAAUAUCGUUUACAUCAGGAUGCACAACCUUCCACUUCUGUAAGGAGUUCUUUAUUUUGCCAUUCUUGCUAGGUUGAAGCACUUGUUGAUUGUUUUUUGAAUAGCAGGACAGAAAUAAAGUACCUCAUGCUGAAAAGAGAAGUCAAAGAGAUCUCUUGGCAGGGGUUAGAAAGGAUAGACCCAGCAAAAUGUAUAUCUGUCAUAACUCACACUGUCAGUGGCUCUGUAAAUACAUAAUGUUGUGAGCGUCUUGUAGAAUCCUGGAGUUGGAAUAUUAUAUUACUUGUAGAUAACGCUGCUUUCAUCAUUUCUAAAAUGAUGCAGAAAAAUUAAUCCAUGCAUUUGUUACUUCUAGGCUAGACUACUGCAAUGCUCUACUUUCCGGCUACCCGGAUAAAGCACUAAAUAAACUUCAGUUAGUGCUAAAUACGGCUGCUAGAAUCCUGACUUGAACCAAGAAAUUUGAUCAUAUUACUCCAGUGCUAGUUUCCCUACACUGGCUUCCUGUUAAGGCAAGGGCUGAUUUCAAGGUUUUACUGUUAACCUAUAAAGCGUUACAUGGGCUUGCUCCUACCUAUCUUUCCGAGUUGGUCCUGCCGUACAUACCUACACGUACGCUACGGUCACAAGACGCAGGCCUCCUAAUUGUCCCUAGAAUUUCUAAGCAAACAGCUGGAGGCAGGGCUUUCUCCUAUAGAUCUCAAUUUUUAUGGAACGGUCUGCCUACCCAUGUGAGAGACGCAGACUCGGUCUCAACCUUUAAGUCUUUACUGAAGACUUAUCUCUUCAGUAGGUCAUAUGAUUGAGUGUAGUCUGAACCAGGAGUGUGAAGGUGAAUGGAAAGGCUCUGGAGCAACGAACCGCCCUUGCUGUCUCUGCCUGGCCGGUUCCCCUCUCUCCACUGGGAUUCUCUGCCUCUAACCCUAUUACAGGAGCUGAGUCACUGGCUUACUGGUGCUCUUUCAUGCCAUCCCUAGGAGGGGUGCGUCACUUGAGUGGGUUGAGUUACUGGCGUGAUCUUCCUUUCUGGGUUGGCGCCCCCCCUUGGUUUGUGCUGUGGUGGAGAUCUUUGUGGGCUAUACUCGGCCUUGUCUCAGGAUUGUAAUUUGGUGGUUGAAGAUAUCCCUCUAGUGGUGCGGGGGCUGUGCUUUGGCAAAGUGGGUGGGGUUAUAUCCUUCCUGUUUGGCCCUGUCUGGGGGAAUCAUCGGAUGGGGCCACAGUGUCUCCUGACCCCUCCUGUCUCAGCCUCCAGUAUUUAUGCUGUAGUAGUUUGUGUCGGGGGGCUAGGGCCAGUUGGUUUGAGUAGAGUGUGUGAGGUAAGGCAAUAAAUAGGACCCUUGGCCAUGUUCUGUUAUCUCCACCUGGCACAGCCAGAAGAGGACUGGCCACCCCUCAUAGCCUGGUUCCUCUCUAGGUUUCUUCCUAGGUUUUGGCCUUCUAGGGAGUUUUUCCUAGCCAAUGUGCUUCUACACCUGCAUUGCUUGCUGUUUGGGGUUUUAGGCUGGGUUUCUGUACAGCACUUUGAUAUAUCAGCUGAUGUAAGAAGGGCUAUAUAAAUAAAUUUGAUUUGAUCUCAGUGAGUAAGUUGUACACCUGAGCCCAAUUUAGUUUCUUCCCCUUUUCCCACAGUACACUCUUAAAAUCAAAUUGUAUUGGUCACAUGCACAUGAAUAACAGAUGUUAUUACGAGUGUAGCGAAAUGCUUGUGCUUCUAGUUCCGACAGUGCAGCAAUAUCUAACAAGUAAUAUCUAACAAUUCCACAACAAAAACCUAAUACACACACAUCUAAGUAAAGGAAUAAGAAUGUGUAUAAAUGUAUGGAUGAGUAAUGUCAGAGCGGCAUAGGCGAAGAUGCAAUAGAUAGUAUAGAAUGCAUUUAUACAUAUGAGAUGAGUAGUGCAAGAUGUGUAAACAUUGUUUAAAGCGACAUUAUUAAAGUGACUAGUUUUCAAUUUAUUAAAGUGGCCAAUGAUUUCAAGUCUGCAUAUAGGCAGCAGCCUCUCUGUGCUAGUGAUGGCUUUUUAACAGUCUGAUGGCCUUGCGAUAGAAGCUGUUUUACAGUCUCUCGGUCCCAGCUUUGAUGCACCUGUACUGACCACGCCUCCUGGAUGGUAGCGGGGUGAACGGGCAGUGGCUCGGGUGGUUGUUGUCCUUGAUCUUUUUGGCUUUCCUGUGACAUCGGGUGCUGUAGGUGUCUUGGAGGGCAGGUAGUUUGCCCCCUGAUGAUGCAAUGUGCAGACCGCACCACCCUCUGGAGAGUCCUGCGGUUGUGGGCGGUGCAUUUGCCAUACCAGGAAGUGAUACAGCCCGACAGCAUGCUCUCAAUUGUGCAUCUGUAAAAGGAUGUGAACGUUUUCGGUGACGACAAAUUUCUUUAGCCUCCUGAGGUUGAAGUGGCGCUGUUUCGCCUUCUUCACCACGCUGUCUGUGUGGGUGGACCAUUUCGGUUUGUCUGUGAUGUGUACGCCGAGGAACUUAAAACUUUCCACCUUCUCCACUGUUGUCCAUCGAUGUGGAUAGGGGUUGCUCCCUCUGCUGUUUCCUGAAGUCCACGAUCAUCUCCUUUGUUUUUGACGUUGAGUGAGAGGUUAUUUUCCUGACACAACACUCCGAGAGCCCUCACCUCCCUGUAGGCUUUUUCGUUGUUGUUGGUGAUCAAGCCUACUACAGUUGUCGUCUGCAAACUUGAUGAUUGAGUUGGAGGCAUGCAUGGCCACGCUGUCAUGGGUGAACAGUGAGUACAGGAGGGGGCUGAGCACGCACCCAUGUGGGGCCCCAGUGUUGAGGAUCAGCGAAGUGGAGAUGUUGUUUCCUACUUUCACCAUCUGAGGGUGGCCCGUCAGAACGUCCAAGACCCAAUUGCACAGGGCGGGGUUGAGACGCAGGGCCUAAAGCUUAAUGAUGAGCUUGGAGGGUACUAUGGCGUUGAAUGCUGAGCUGUAGUCGAUGAACAGCAUUCUUACAUAGGUAUUCCUCUUGUCCAGAUGGGAUAGGGCAGUGUGAUGAUGACUGCAUCGUCUGUGGACCUAUUGGGGCGGUCAGCAAAUUUAAGUGGGUCUAGGGUGACCGGUAAGGUGGAGGUGAAAUGAUCCUUGACUAGUCUCUCAAAGUACUUCAUGAUGACACAAGUAGUCAUUUAGUUCAGUUACCUUUGCAUUCUUGGGUACAGGAACAAUGGUGGCCAUCUUGAAACAUGUGGGGACAGCAGACUGGGAUAGGGAGAGAUUGAAUAUGUCCGUAAACACACCAGCUAGCUGGUCUGGGCGUGCUCUGUGGACGUGGCUAGGUAUGCUGUCUGGGCCGGCAGCCUUGCGAGGGUUAACACGUUUAAAAGUCUUAUUCAAGUCUGCCCCGGAGAAGGAGAGCCCACAGUCCUUGGUAGCUGGCCGCGUUGGUGGCACUGUGUUAUCCUCAAAGUGGGCAAAGAACGUGUUUAGCUUGUCUGGCAGCAAGACGUCGGUGUCCCCGACGUGGCUAGUUUGCCUUUUGUAGUCCAUGAUUGUCUGUAAACCCUGCCACAUACGUCUUGUGUCUGAGCCGUUGAAUUGUGAUUCCACUUUGUCUCGAUAUUGAAGUUUUGCCUGUUUGAUUGCCUUGCUGAGGGAAAGACUGCUCUGUUUGUAUUCUGCCAUAUUCCCCGUCACUUUGCCAUGGUUAACAUAUUCCAGUCUGUGCUAGCAAAAUAGUCCUGUAGUUUAGCAUCUGCUUCAUCUGACCACUUUUUUUAUAGACCGAGUCACUGGUGCUUCCUGCUUUAAUUUUUGCUUUUAAGCAGGAAUCAGCAGGAUAGAUUUAUGGUCAGAUUUGCCAAAUGGAGGGCGAGCGAGAGCUUUGUAAACAUCUUUGUGUGAGGAGGAAAGGUGGUCUAUAAUUUGUUUCCCUCUGGUUGCACGUUUAACAUGCUGAUAGAAAUUAGGUGAAACUAAUUUAAAUUUCCCUGCAUUUAAGUCCAACUAGGAGCGCUGCCUCUGGAUGAGCGUUUUCCUGUUUGGUUAUGGCGGAAUACAGCUCAUUGAGUGUGGUUGUAGUGCCAGCUUCGGUCUCUGGUGGUAUGUAGACAGCUACGGAAAAUACAGAUAAACUCUCUAGGUAGAUAGUGUGGUCUACAGCUUAUGAGAUACUCUACCUCAGGUUAGCAAAACCCUGACACUUCCUUAGAUAUCGUGCACCAGAUAUUGUUAACAAAUAUGCAUAGGCCCCCGCCCUGUCUCUUACCAGAGGCUGGUAUUCUGUCCUGCCGAUAGUGUAUAACCUGCCAACUGUAUGUUCUUAAUGUCGUUGUUCAGCCACAACUUGGUGAAACAAGAUAUUACAGUUUUAAAUGUCCUGUUGGUAGGAUAUACGUGCUUUCAGUUCGUUCAAUUUAUUUUCCAGCGAUUGAACGUUAGCUAGCAGAACGGAUGGCAAGGGCAGAUUAGCUACUUGUCGCCUGAUCCUCACAAGGCAUCCUGAUCUCUUUCCGCGAAACCUAAGUUUCCUUUUCCAGUGAAUCACGGGGAUCUGGGCCUAGUUGGGUGUCCGUAGUGUAUCCCUCGCGUCCGACUCAUUGAAGAAGAACUCCUCAUCCAACUUGAAGUAAGUAAUCCUAGUAGUGGAGGCUCCUAGGUUUUGUAUUGAAGUCAAUGUACCAAGAGGACGGAAGCUAUCUGUACUCGGGCUACACCAUGGUGCUACCCUACAGAAUGCUGUUGAAGCUACUUUAGACCUUCAUUGCAAAACAGUGUGUUUUAAUCAAUUAUUUGGUGACAAACAUAUUUUGUAUAGUUUUAUCUUAAAAGGAUAACUUUUUCUGUUUUACAAAAAAAAGAAAAAGGAAAUUCACUGAGGAGGAUGGUCCUCCCCUUGCUCCUCUGAGGAGCCUCCACUGUUGUAAACAAGCUGAUGCAUUGUUUUCUACAAAAAUAUGAAGGUUAUUGACCACACAUAAUUAAAUGAGAGCAUCUACAACCAAUUGCGCUCUAAUAUACACUAGAUGGCGGCAUUUAAUCACCAUGACACUGGGAUCAGCAUAGCCCUUAGCUUCCCGACUGUUCGUAAGCAGGGUUAGGGUUCCCACACUGCCAUAUUUCCACGUUACAGCGCUUGUUUACGGAAAACAGACGGAAGACCGAGUGGACUACCUGUGCUAAUUAGCUAUCUGCGUCUCCGAACACCUGUGUGUAAACGGUAGACAGACGCCACAAAGGUGUUGUCACUGAAAAAUACUGCCUGCUGAAACUGUUAAAACAGUGUACGGUAGUGGAGGCUUGUUGAUGAGCUAUAGGAGGACGGGCUCAUUGUAAUGGAUGGAGUCAAACAUGUGGUUUCCUUAUAUUUGAUGUGUUUGAUAUCGUUCAAUUUAUUCCAUUCCAGUCAUUGCAAUGAGCCUGUCCUCCUGUUGCUCCUCCACCCAGCCUCCUCUGUUGUACAGUGUGUGUAUUUUGCAUUUGUGAAAUUAGUUUUAUGUUAUAUGAAAGUAGAGGGAUUUAUGUUUCUAGAACCUUACUGCAAUUGAGAAUCGAUUCACGUUUAGCUGCAGUAUUUGGCAGCUUUGGCUUCCAGAGCCAAAUCACCCUUUAAACAGACAUGUAAGGUCCUUGGACUAAGGAGUAACGUUAGCCCAAUAUUGGACUAAAGGAGCCUAACUAUUGAGUAUGAGCUGUCAAAUGCUGAUUUUUAAUGUAUUCAUUUUACAACAACAAUUACUCUUUGUCUGACACACUACUGGUUUUACCAAAAUAAUACAACUCUAUUUGUUAAAAAAAAAUCAGAUCUGUUGUCUGUUCGGCAGGAAUUGUAAGUCGGACGCCAACACAGAAAAUUAGUAGAUCUGGUUACUGUUGCUUGGAUACCUGUUAUUCAAACCAGUGAAUAAGGGCUACAGCAAAAUUCUACUGACGGGAAUUGGUGGUCUACUCUUUCAGUCUAAUACAAUACAAACGUUGCAGUUAAAAUGACCAUGAACUUCAUAAAUGGGCAUAUCAACUGGCACUACUUUAGUUCUAGAGCAUGUGUAAGCAAGCACGUGUAACCAAUUACGACCUUUAUGAUUUUAUGGGCUGUUAAAAGAAGAAAAGCAAUAUUUGGUCAUGUUCAACAAUGACAAGUUUGAUCAAUGUUGCAUUAAUAUAUCCUCUUUUCGCCCAUCACAAAUCACAAUGUGUCUUUCUGCAUUUUAGCAGGAGGUGGAACUUGCCCCUAACUACUGAUACAGGAUAAGAUAUCCCCCCCCCCCCCAGUUUGGGUAGGGUAAUCUGAUCCCAGGUCUAUAGUGAAGGGUAACUUCUAGUUCGACUGGCACCAUUUUGUUUUUCCUGUGCAAAUAAGUUUCUGUGAUCUGUCCAAUGAGGGAACGAAGGGUGCCGUUUUUCAUGGGAAUGGGGGUUUACAACUCUUGUUGCUAGGCUGUGGAUAUUUUUCUAGGAAAUCUUCCACUGCAAAACAGCCGAAGCUGUUCCGCUCACAUCUUAUUGGUUGGUGAUGGGGUGGAGUACUGAGAACUGAACAGUACAUUCAAAAUGGCGUAUGUGUUUUUGCUGCUUCCCACAAAGCAACGCCAUUAUGGUCUCUCACUGACAUUCUUCAAUUGUAUCUGUAUACAAUUGGUUCUUACAUGGACAAUGCAUAUUAUUUGUAAUAUUAAGACAAAUUAUUAUCAAUUCAAGCAAUUACAUCAACAUAUUAUAGGCAAACAAUUACAAGUGUGGUAGUCUAUAUUAGUUUGACACUGGUAGAUUUUGACAUAUCUACUGUGUUCUAUAACUAUUUAAUUGAAUAGCCUUUAGCUAUGCAACACGUGAUGAAAUAAGUGUACUGAAAUUUAAUGAAAUACCGGACAGGAGGUAGUAAAACACAACUUCAGCAUUGUUUAAUGUUCAUAACUAAACUAUUUCACCAAUGAAGUUGGUUUAUACAUCUUGCCUCAACACAAAACAUUUCUUAAGAAGGACAAACAUUAAAUGCAAAACAGACAGUAAACCUUUGAGCAUAGAUCUUUGGACAAUACAAGGGAAAUGUUGCCGCAAUGUAUCUCCUAGUUUUAACAUUUGAUACAUUUCAGAAAAGUGUAUAAAAUAAAUGUAGAGCCACAAUGUUGCAUAUUUUCCUCAAAUCGCUUUAUAGUAAUUAUCUAAACCAUUAGAGUAGAGGCUCUGCUUGCUACCCAGGAUGCUGGUGUGUUUCAGAGGAAGUUGUGUGCGCUUACGUUGAAAAAGAGGGGGCAGAGCUAUUGAAUAGGAUAACAGUUCUUGCAGACCCAGUGAGAAGGACAGACGGAAGAGACCAGCAUCCAGCACAGAAUGGCAGAGACGCACAACUGUCAGGGUGAAGAUCCCGAUAAAAUGACGAAAAUCUGCAAGAAAUGCGGCGGUCGCGCGGGUAGAAGACGGGGGAUAGCGCCCUUCUCACAUGUGGGAAACAUUGAAGUUUGAAAAAUGGGGGUUAAGAAGAAUACCGAAGUCUUGAUACUCGAAAAAUGGUUUGUCAUCCGGAUGGCCCACCAAAUCGAUGACUAGGGGGAUCGGAAUGAUCAAGACUUAAUCAAGACAUAGACUGACUGACUGUUCCAUUCCCUCCCCAUGAAGUAAGAAGACAGCUAUCAAAUACCAGCACAUAAGAUCAUCAAAUCCAACGUUUUCAAGAUAAAACGAUGAUUAAGAAUAAAAAGCAAGAAGAUGAAGGUUCGACUCAAAGCAAUGCAUCAAGGUACGAUCAUCUAUUUAACUUUUUUGACAUCUAUUUUCAUUGUUUACCUUGACAAGCAUGGUUGAUCGCCUGUGGACACAUUUGCUACAUAGUUUUAACGAUUUGUACUAGUUUCAAACAAAUGACCUUGGUCUUGUUUAAUAGCCACACCCUAAUUUUGCUAGCAUUUUGUUACACUAAAGACUGAACUUUCAGGCCCAUGUUAUUGCAUCUUUACCCACAUGUAUACAACCUAGAAUAAGUUUAAUUGGCUUUUUCCCCAAGAACAAAUGCAUGAUUUCAAUGUUUGUUCCAUCGUUACAAUGUUAUAUGACCUUGUCAUAUUAGUCGAUACUGCAUUGCACCAUUUGAACAUGCAACGCGUAUUCUUUUUUAAAACGUUUUAGAACUGUAAUUUACUCAUGUUAACAGCAUGUGUGGCUGAAGGGAAGUAUUCAAAUAAAUAUCCAGUAGGCGCUAUUCAACUUUUUUUUCUGCAUUGGCAACAAUGUAGUUAAGUUUAAAGACGCAUUUGUCAUCGUUUGAAACAGUUGACAACAUUGGUUUUAGUAAGCUUAAAUGUGGGUAGCCUAAAUUAUAAAGUGUUCUCAUUAUUUGAAUGAGAACUUAAAUGUAUACUAGGCCAUAGUCAAUCACGACUGAAUGUUCACUAGAUUUUAGUUUCUAUUUAGGCUGUUGUAGAUCUAUUUACCUCCUGGAUAUUUUGUCUUCAGUUACAACUUCAUUUGUUACAGGCUUCUGUCCAUAAGAAAGGGAGCCUCUAUUAUUGUAUGCCUAUUUGAAAACGGCUUCACUGAUAGUCAGUCCUCUUGUAAAUGUAUUUAACUUUUACAUGUUUUGUGGAUAGCCAUUUGAAAUAGUUAUUAGGUAAGGUGUGUGUAUAUACUGAAAAAGUAUGCAUUCCGAUGUCAUUCAGAGAACAAUUUCAUAGGGGUUAUUGGCAUUGAUGUGGCUCUUUCUGAAGUGCUCUUCACUGGUACACAAAUCAGACUAACCAUUGACAUACUACAUUUUGCACAGAUUUGGUGUUCACUCAAAAGUUAUAGAUUAGGCUUUUCUAUUAGGCUACAUUUUCAGAUUUGAUAGGACAGCUGAUUCAAUUGAGUGAUGUCCUCAAUGCACAGUAGCCCUUUAUUCAGCUGUGCCUGUAUUUGUGACUAAGAGGGGCUUAUAUUCUGAUACCAUGGAAUAGGCUAAUAGCUAAGUGCCAGGAUGGUAAAUGUCAUGUAUUGCAGAUGUUUUCAUGGUCUCAACAACUUUAGUGAUUUAGAUUAUACUUUUAUUUGUAAAAUAAUACAAAAGUUGGGAUUCAAAUGAUUGAAAUGUAUUAUCUGUUUGUGUUGGAACACGAAACAAUGUAAUUUAUUAUAAUCAAUAAAAAGUUAUACAUGUGCUCAGGUUAUUUUGAGGCAUACUUAUGUCAAAUAACCAUUCUUGCUUGCAAAAUCAUGGUAAUCUUGAGUGGAACAUAUCUGCUUAUCCAUCAUAGUGAAAUCAUUUCAUUAUAUGGGGGAUGGUAAGUGCACAUUGCUUACACCUCUUACAUUUCUGAUAGGUUUAGAAUUCAGUCAUGGAAGUAACUGUCUUAUGUCGGCCUAUGUAUAAUUGGUGACUGGAUAUCGUAAUUAAAGCCUGAUGGGGCCAACGUGUUGUCACCUAUUACAUGGCUUACAUUUCUUACCAUAGGCCUACAUGACUACUACAACUACAGGCCUGUUUGGGUUUCUCUUCAAGAGAGAAGUAUUGCAUUGGUUUUAGAUUGUUAAACCAUGCAAAUGUUUCAGCUUAACUGCCCAUAACCCUUAAUUCAAUUGAUAAUGGGUCACAUACAUGACAUGAAGACAUUGUCACACAAUUAAAGGCUGUGUAGUGCAUUUGCUAUCCUAUUGGCAGCCAUUUUAAUAACCAUGCACAUUUUAUCCAAAGUCUGUCCCUCAAAAUAUUAAUCCUCUACCACACUUUUGACUGCUCGUCCUGAUAGGUGACUACUUUUCAAGCACAUGUAAGCAAAAGACACAGAGAGCAGAUCACUCUAAUAAAUAUUCUUUUGAAAUACAGGACAUGAAGUGGAGUCCACUUUUAAUUCACAAAAUGGCUCUUGUUUUGUACUUUCUGUAUUAAGUGUGCUCAGAACUACAGGAAAUGGGAACAGGAAGUGUUUCAAAGGUCAUAGGCUUUUAUUUUGAGCUGGGAUUGGCUCAUUCCUCACCUAGCAACCCACCAGCCUGUAAUCAUUAACUUCAUUUUUUUGUCCCGCCUAUGUCUAACCUCACACUCAAUGAAGGGAGUCACUUGCUCAUGGGGGUUUGAGCAUUUGUCACUGGGUGACUGACUUACAUUUACAUUUAAGUCAUUUAGCAGACGCUCUUAUCCAGAGCGACUUACAAAUUGGUGCAUUCACCUUAUGACAUCAAUAAAUAAAUUGUCAAUAAAUUACAAUAACUUUAUCACAAUUCAUUAGCUUUUGAUAUCACAAUAAGAAAUAGAUCUUAAUUUUUCUUAACUGAAUAGUUAUAUAAACAUUUAAUCAGUUAGAUGUAUAUUUUCAAAUAAAAUAGAAAAUCUAUGUACUAAUAGAAUAGCUGUAGUUAUAUGCAUAAAUACUGUCAUCAGUGACUACACAGGUAAUAAAGCAUGGCUACAAAUGAAGGGAUUGUUUUUGUUCUAUUGUAGCAGCCUGCUCCAUGUUUUAACCAUUUUAAGAUAGGCUGACUGUGGAUAUGAUCUAUUUUGAAAAUGGAAUAAUGCUGAUGUGGGUACCCCCUGUAGUCUGUUCAAGGUAUUGCACAUUCCAUGUUAGUAUGGGGCAUAGACAGGUUUACACUCUAAUUUGCUGUGUUUAUUAUGUAAGAAUUACAGUUUAAUAAAUAAAUGUUAGUGAUUUAAUGUGUUCUGGUUUCAUUAAAUAAAGACAUUACAUUUAAA